Molecule: long non-coding RNA, 96 nt
Organism: Sinocyclocheilus grahami
Lineage: Eukaryota; Metazoa; Chordata; Actinopteri; Cypriniformes; Cyprinidae
Exons: 4
Source: RefSeq, a predicted model, not a curated record
AAUGAUUUAUAUUUUGUAUUAUUAUUUGUUAUAUGGAUUCUUUUCACCUUGUAUAUUAAAUCACUUUCGUUGACAGUUUGUGUCCCUGCAUUGUCU